GGUUGUAGCUCAGUGGCAGAGCACUUGCCCAGCAUGCAUGAGGCACUGGGUUCGAUUCACGGCACCA
Molecule: transfer RNA, 67 nt
Filed under: Marmota monax (woodchuck)
Lineage: Eukaryota; Metazoa; Chordata; Mammalia; Rodentia; Sciuridae
Description: tRNA.Ala
Rfam family: tRNA
About the family: Transfer RNA (tRNA) molecules are approximately 80 nucleotides in length. Their secondary structure includes four short double-helical elements and three loops (D, anti-codon, and T loops).
Source: RNAcentral